CCAGAGGGUCGGGCGGCCGCGUCGCACUUCAAGUGCGCCGAGGAAAGUCCGGGCUCCACGGAACAACGGUGCCGGGUAACGCCCGGCGGUCCUGCGCAAGCAGGGUCAGGGACAGUGCCACAGAAAGCAGACCGCCUGGGCUUCGGCUCGGCAAGGGCGAAAGGGUGCGGCAAGAGCGCACCGCGGGUCCGGCAACGGGAACGGCAUGGCAAACCCCACCGGGAGCAAGACCGAAUAGGGGCGGCACAUGGGCCUUGUUCCGGCUCGUCGCCCGGGUUGGUUGCUGGAGGCUGUCGGCAACGGCAGCCCGAGAGGAAUGGCCGCACAUCGCCUUCGGGCGAGGACAGAACCCGGCUUAUAGACCCUCUGGCGCC
RNAcentral lists this RNase P RNA (374 nucleotides) under Sphingomonas changbaiensis NBRC 104936. RNAcentral describes it as "Bacterial RNase P class A". It matches the Rfam family "Bacterial RNase P class A". Rfam says of the family: Ribonuclease P (RNase P) is a ubiquitous endoribonuclease, found in archaea, bacteria and eukarya as well as chloroplasts and mitochondria. Lineage: Bacteria; Pseudomonadati; Pseudomonadota; Alphaproteobacteria; Sphingomonadales; Sphingomonadaceae. The record is from Rfam by way of RNAcentral.